UGCACCCAUCAACCGUCAUCUACAUUAGGUAUUUCUCCUUCUAACUGUAACUACGGGACCCACGUGCUGAGAACCACUGCAUUAAGAUAAACUAGAAGAUUUGGUGCCCAGCAUGAAGAAUAGUUCCUUUCAAGUACCUGUAUGUCCUGAAUGUAUUCCUUCCAGUGGGUUCUUGGUCUCGCUGACUUCAAGAAUGAAGCCUUGGACCCUCGUGAUAUGUGCUCACCCUUCUCUGCUCAGCUCUGUGCCUGGGAGGCUGACCUCUACAAACUGCAUCACCAGGCUUCCGCCCUCUGGCUUCCAGAUGGAUUUGGCCAAUGGGCAGCACCAGUGGGAAAGGAGAGGACAGGAGGAGAGACAGGCUGAGGCCUCCCUCCUCCUGUGUCCCUGACAUACAGUGACAGUGCUGCCCUGCAGCUCAGGAUGGAUGCAGUCAAGGACGACAGCGCAUGUCCAAAAAAGCUGUCUGCUGAACAUUUGCCCAGCAGAUUUUAGAAAGAAAGGAAACAUCUUAGUGAUUUUCUUGCCUCCAGAAGAUUCCCUGAUCCAAUCUUUCCUUGGCACAAACUUUUAGUUAUUGUGUUUACAUAUACAUUUUAUAUAUGUGUGGUCAUUAUUGUAUCUGUUUUAUUUGGGGACUUUAUCUUGAUGUGUGUUAUACCUAAUACACUGCAAUAUAAAUUAUGUAAUUAUGUGCUUUUUUUUUUUGAGAUGGAGUCUCGUUCUGUCACCCAUGCUGGAGUGCAGUGGUGUGAUCUCGGCUCACUGCAACCUCCACCUUCUGGGUUCAAGUGAUUCUGCUGCUUCUGCGUCUCAAGUAGCUGGGACUACAGGCGCCUGCCACCACACUCAGCUAAUUUUUUUUUUUUUUUUUUAAGUAGAGGUGGGGCUUCACCAUGUUGGCCAGGCUGCUUUCGAACUCCUGACGUCAGGUGAUCCACCCACCUCAGCCUCACAAAGUCCUGGAUUACAGGCAUGAGCCACCACACCCGCCCUGUGCUUUCAAUAAGUACUUUCUCACUGCUUACUGACUGAUACCCCUAGCUUUUGUAUCAUGAGGAAAAAGAGGCAUAAGAGAAUGAAUCCCUGGCCCCAGUAUCAGUCAGGAUUUAAUCAGAAAACAGAAGUCAUGCUAGGUUUUUGAUGAGUUGGAGAGAGUUGAAAGAGGAAUUAAGGCUUGCACAACCAUUAGAAGGGCUGGGUAAGGAAAGGUCAGACGGUUGCUCUUAGGGCAUCUGAAAUGCAGAGAUCUCAAGAGAAAUUGGGGCUUCUGUUGUGAUCAAGUUGCCCAUAGCAGGUGCUUCUCAGCAGGACCCUGAGAAGCUGAGGCUCUGAGUAACCGCCUGUAGCUGGCACUAAAGAAAAAUGGCUUCUCCUUUUCUGCCUCAGAUGUUUCACGGGGGUGCCUCUCACUGGACAAAUGUAACCUCGAGGCACAUAGGAAAAGAACUGGGUAGUGAGGUUUCUGGUUUUCCUCCAAGAUGGAGAAGAGUGGAGGGCUGGGGAGCAUGAGUCACAAUGAAGUUGAACUAUCAACAGACCACCCAGAAACAAAACCUCCCAUAUAUUAAUGAAAAAUAAAAAAAGCAAACAGCAAUUGAUAAACAAAUGUAUUUAAGUUAUACCAAGGGCAAGAUUGCUCUGUCAAAAAGCAUUUGAUAAUCAGUUAAUUGGUGAGUGUCUGCUAUGCAGAAUUAGAGGCAGUUAUUUUUUUGUUUGUUUGUUUUUGUUUUAGAUUAUUUCUUGCUCAAAACUCACUCAGGUUCCUGGGCUAUAAUACUUGAGCCAGACAGAGCAGCUUUGAUCUCACUGGCAGUUUGUUUAGAAGCCUGAGAUCUGGAGUGGCUUUCUAAAAUCUUCAGCUCUAAAAACCAAUACAGUUUAGUAAAAAUCUAUACAUUUGCUUGCAAUAGUCUCAAGUACAUAGUAAAAUGACAGAAAUGAUUUCAACCAAGAAAUUAGCCAUUUUCUUCCUCUUGAUUUAAGAAGGGAGAAAUAGCUUUGGAGGGAAGUGGCAAUAUUUCUAAAUUUACACACAAAUUCACACCGACAGUAUGCUCCUAAUGGUUGCCACAUUUAGAGCUAACCUGGUUUUCUGAGAUUGAUCUGGGAUGGAAGGAGAAAGAACAGCUAACUGACCGGAAGCUAAACGCCACAAGGCAAAGCCUCUUUGUUAGAAGCUGAAGAUUAUCAUAUUUCUAGGGGAGGCUGGAUGCUUUGGUUAAGAGAGACCUAGUUAUGAAUCCAGCCUUCUAAAGACCUCCAGGGAGAACUCUGCAAGUCUCCUCAGGGCAGGGGUUCUGGGAGUUUCUAGGUUCUUGCAAUUCCUGCAAGCAAACACAUCAACACACAAAAAAGCACUGGGAAUUCAGAGUCCCAGAGAAGGACAUUUGGGUACAUCCCUCAAGGUUAAAAUUUGCUGGAAACUUUGAUAAGAUAUUUGGAUGUGGAGAAGACUGGGGAAGUGUUAAGUAAAGGAAUAUGAAGUUGGGAGUCAAUUAUUCAUUAUUUUCCCUAUUCCUCUCACCCAUUAGCAUCAAUAAUUGAAAAAGAACCAUCCAUGUGUGUAUGGGGAAGGCAGUAGGCUUAGAGGCUGCUAAUAACAAUUUAGUAAAUGAGGCCAAAAAUGGGGCUCUGCAGGCAACAAGCUUGACUGGGUAGAGCCAGGCCACCUCAAAGCUGAGGCUUUAACCACCAUGGCCUGCCAUCUGCAGCACAUGACUCACUGCAUCUUUAAGCAAGACUUUGCCCAAAUAAGUACCUUCCACUUUGGUUCUAUAUUGCUGCCACCAGUGUAACUACUCUGCUGCCUUUCCUAGGGGUGGGGACAAGCUACCUCCUUGAGUUUGAGGCUUGAGCCUACCUUUGUACCUGUGGUCCUUAAGAGGUGCUGUCCUUCUCAUUUAGCUCAUACAAAGUGACUCGGGCAUCCUGCAGCAUCCCUGUACAGGUAUCAGCCCAGUCCACACUGCUAAUUGCACCCAUUUUCUUCAAAGUCCAUCUGUUUACUUAAGCAUGUUGGUGCUCAUGCUCAAUGUGCAAGGUAAUAUAGAUUGAUAUGGAUUCUUUGGGAUUUUUAGUUAAGUGGUUUCUGCUUGUGACAUUCUUUCCUUUUUUCUUUCUUUCUUUCUUUUUUUUGAGACGGAGUCUCUGUCGCCAGGCUGGAGUGCAGUGGCAUGAUCUCAGCUAGGCUCACUGCAACCUCCGUCUCCCGGGUUCAAGCAAUUCUCCUGCCUCAGCCUCCCAUGUAGCUGGGAUUACAGGCGCAUGCCACCAUGCCCAGCUAGUUUUUUUGUAUUUUUUUUUUAGUAGAGACGGGGUUUCACCAUAUUGGUCAGGCUGGUCUUGAACUCCUGACCUUGUGAUCUGCCCGCCUCGGCCUCCCAAAGUGCUGGGAUUACAGGCAUGAGCCACCACGCCUGACCUGCUUGUGACAUUAUUUUCUGCCUUUUAAAUACAAAUAGAAGUAUACAAAAGCAUAUACCUCAGUGCUUCAGGGAGAAAAGUGUGUUAGAUAAAUAGACUACCUGUAAGGAAGACUUAGUAUAAUGACAAGCAUGACUGCUUGGUAUAUUCAGAAUUUUGAUGUGUGACAAAUAAUGUGUGUCAUUCUUUGAAAUAUAAAUGUUAGAGCUUCUUAUGUUAAAAGAAGCCAUCCUAACCAAAUAAUACUCUAGGCUUUCAGUGUACCUAUAAACAUGUUCAUCUGGUGGGAAUUAAGAGAUAUGCCAAAAAACAGAUUUGAAUUUGAGCAAAAGAAUAGCAAUACAUUAACUGCUAUAUUAUAGAGUUUGUAAAGAUUGCUAUAGUGAUUAUCAGUGCUUCACGGUGUCAUUAUUGGCUUCACUAUUAAAGAUAUUGCUGUGAAAAUGAAAAUU
Molecule: long non-coding RNA, 3878 nt
Filed under: Homo sapiens (human)
Lineage: Eukaryota; Metazoa; Chordata; Mammalia; Primates; Hominidae
Description: HSALNT0108951
Source: RNAcentral